RNAcentral lists this ribosomal RNA (444 nucleotides) under uncultured bacterium. RNAcentral's name for it is "partial 16S ribosomal RNA". It matches the Rfam family "Bacterial small subunit ribosomal RNA", at positions 354 to 796 of the family's 1533-position model. The record is from RNAcentral.
GUAGGGAAUUUUCGGCAAUGGGCGAAAGCCUGACCGAGCAACGCCGCGUGAGUGAUGAAGGUUUUCGGAUUGUAAAGCUCUGUUGUAAGGGAAGAACGGCUCCGAUAGAAUCGGGGAUUGACGGUACCUUACCAGAAAGCCACGGCUAACUACGUGCCAGCAGCCGCGGUAAUACGUAGGUGGCGAGCGUUAUCCGGAAUUAUUGGGCGUAAAGGGUGCGUAGGCGGCGAGUUAAGUUUAUGGUGAAAGCGUGGGGCUCCACCCCAUAAAGCCAUAGAUACUGGCUUGCUAGAGUAUAGGAGAGGGAAGUGGAAUUCCAGGUGUAGCGGUAAAAUGCGUAGAUAUAUGGAGGAACACCAGUGGCGAAGGCGGCUUCCUAGCCUAAGACUGACGCUGAUGCACGAAAGCGUGGGGAGCAAAUAGGAUUAGAUACCCGGGUAGUCC